Molecule: ribosomal RNA, 478 nt
Filed under: uncultured bacterium
Lineage: Bacteria
Description: partial 16S ribosomal RNA
Rfam family: Bacterial small subunit ribosomal RNA
Source: RNAcentral
GACGAACGCUGGCGGCGUGCUUAACACAUGCAAGUCGAGCGGUAAGGCCCUUCGGGGUACACGAGUGGCGAACGGGUGAGUAACACGUGGGUGAUCUGCCCUGCACUUCGGGAUAAGCCUGGGAAACUGGGUCUAAUACCGGAUAGGACCACUGCCUGCAUGGGUGGUGGUGGAAAGCUUUUGCGGUGUGGGAUGGGCCCGCGGCCUAUCAGCUUGUUGGUGGGGUGAUGGCCUACCAAGGCGACGACGGGUAGCCGGCCUGAGAGGGUGACCGGCCACACUGGGACUGAGAUACGGCCCAGACUCCUACGGGAGGCAGCAGUGGGGAAUACUGCACAAUGGGCGCAAGCCUGAUGCAGCGACGCCGCGUGAGGGAUGACGGCCUUCGGGUUGUAAACCUCUUUCAGCACCGACGAAGCGCAAGUGACGGUAGGUGCAGAAGAAGGACCGGCCAACUACGUGCCAGCCGCCGCUGUAA